RNAcentral lists this ribosomal RNA (473 nucleotides) under uncultured bacterium. RNAcentral describes it as "bacterial SSU rRNA". It matches the Rfam family "Bacterial small subunit ribosomal RNA", at positions 8 to 525 of the family's 1533-position model. The record is from RNAcentral.
AGAGUUUGAUCAUGGCUCAGAACGAACGCUGGCGGCAGGCCUCAAACAUGCAAGUCUAGGGGGUGUAGCAAUACAUCACCGGCGGACGGGUGCGUAACACGUGGGAAUAUACCUUUUGGUUCGGAACAACGCAGGGAAACUUGCGCUAAUACCGAAUGUGCCCUUACGGGGAAAGAUUUAUCGCCAAAGGAUUAGCCCGCGUAGGAUUAGCUAGUUGGUGAGGUAAUGGCUCACCAAGGCUCCGAUCCUUAGCUGUUCUGAGAGGAAGAUCAGCCACACUGGGACUGAGACACGGCCCAGACUCCUACGGGAGGCAGCAGUGGGGAAUUUUGCGCAAUGGGGGAAACCCUGACGCAGCAACGCCGCGUGGAGGAUGAAGCCCCUUGGGGCGUAAACUCCUUUCGACCAAGACGAUAAUGACGGUACUGGUGGAAGAAGCACCGGCUAACUCUGUGCCAGCAGCCGCGGUAAUA